RNAcentral lists this long non-coding RNA (1131 nucleotides) under Brassica rapa (field mustard). RNAcentral's name for it is "long non-coding RNA (BRAP_LNC004709)". The record is from RNAcentral. Lineage: Eukaryota; Viridiplantae; Streptophyta; Magnoliopsida; Brassicales; Brassicaceae.
AAAUAGCAAAUUUAGUAAACAUAGCAUUGGACUAGAGUAAAUUUUUUUAUUGAAACAUUUAUAAAAAUGAGUUAGAGAUGUUUGAAUUAAAUAGUUCUGGUGAAAAAGCUAGAUAGCUUCUUGUUGUCUUCUUAAUUUUUAAAAAUUGAUGUUAUAUUAUAUUUAGACUAACAGUAAUGGUAGAUUAGCAUGUUCACAACUAAAAUAAAAAAUAUGUCUACUUAGAACUUUUCAUGUAAAAAAAUAGCCCAGACAAGUGGUAGUUAUUUUUUUUUUUCCCACUGGUGAAUUUCAUUCCAAACAAAGAACACUUUUAAUACAACAACUGGCGGAUGAAAAGCAAUCCCCAGACAAUAGAGCCCACAUGAAGGCGGCAACUAAAACCCACAACGGGGCAACGAUAGAUUAAAACUGGAAUUAAAGCUAGAUAACCGACUACCACAUACUUUAGAAAAAAAAAACACAAAAAAAAAACAACUUGACAUAACAGAAUUUAGAACUUAGACGCAGACCAUGAUCGAGAAUUGUCGUUGCUGCCUAUAGCCCGCCACACGAGGUCUUCCACUUCCUCCACCAAACCCACGGCUUACCGCUGCUGCUCAUGCCCGCCAAACGAUAACAACCGAGAAACCAAGACCCUACGACUUCAAAAUCCGACAGAGGGAACUCCACACGGUCCUCACAAUCUUCGGAUAGGGAUGCGACGCCUUCAGCGACCGCUAACACCUAAAUAGAAGCCUAAACAACCUUCACAGAUACGAAGCCUUGCCAAUCGAAAUAUUCCAGACACAACACAGAAUAAUAAACGAAACAGCAAGCGACCAUUGAAACCACUUCAUACGGACUAAACCUGCUAAAUCAACUCUUACAAAACCUUAGAAAUUACCACCACUUUUUUGGUUAAGGGGCACGAGAAGUCAUUUGACGUCAACGGAAUGAGACCCGACUGCAAGGCAUCCAAGGAUACCACUGAUUCAAGCACAAAGACGAACUUAACCGCCAUCAGCUCUGCCUCACCGCCAUAGAAACACCCGGACAUCUCAGACCGUUCCCACACAUCAAACCCUACACGAGAGAUCCAGAAGCUUGAAAAUCGGAUGCUCUCUAGACCUAUCAACUCCGACUCCCCUU